UUUAUAUAUUCUUCCCAAGUCUCCCGCACCUGCUAGUAAAAUUCCUCUUUUGCGCUCCCGCUACUGCGGUGAAAGUUCCACUACCGUGCAAGUCACUUUCCCUCACUACCUCUGCUUCUGUGAUUCCCUAUCCUCAUCUACAGCUCCGCAGGUGCGGGAAAUUCUUCGCAUCUGCGACUCCUGCCCCUCCUAGCCUUGCUCGCUUCCGCGGCCUUCCGUCCCGCUUCUGCAGGAUCUCACCUGAAGAGAACAAUUUUCAUCUAUCUUUAAACUUUAAAACUUGGUUCGUUAAUCACCUGAAAUCAACCCGAGGCCCUGGGGACCUCAACCAAACAUACCAACAAGUCUUAUAACAUAAUACGAACUUAGUCGAAUCCUCAAACCACCUCAAACAAAAUCAAAAACACGAAUUACACAUGGAUUCAAGCCUAAUGAAUUUUGAAAUUUUCAAAUUCUACAAACGACGUCGAAACCUAUCAAAUCAUGUUUUGACCUCAAAUUUUGCACACAAGUCGUAAAUGACACCACGAACCUACUCCAACUUUCGAAAAUUCAAUCUGACCCCGAUAUAAAAAAUUCCAUACCUGGUCAAACUUUCCAAAAUUCCAACUUUCGCCAUUUCAAGCCUAAUUCUACUACGGACCUCCAAAUCACAAUCCGCACACGCUCCUAAGUCCAAAAUCACUUAACAGAGCUAACAGAACCAUCAAAUUUUCAAAUCCGAAGUUGUUUAUACAUAAGUCAACAUCCGGUCAACUUUUCCAACUUAAGCUUUCAAUGAAGAGACUAAGUGUCUCAAUUCAUUAUGAAAUCACUCCGGACUCAAACCAACCAACACAGUAAGUCAUAUAAAAGUUGUAGAACACAAAAGGAGUAGAAAAUGGAGGAACGAGGCUACAACUCUCGAAACGAUUGGCCGGGCCGCUACAUCCUCCCCCUCUUAAACAAGUAUUCCUCCUUGAACGAGUCUAGAAACAUACUUGGAGUCAUGUAUAUGGUCGGAUAUCUGCUCCGCAUCUCCUGCUCGGUCUCCCAAGUGGCCUCCUCCACGGGCUGACCUCUCUAUUACACCUUCAUUGAAGUUAUAUCCUUUGACCUCAACUUUAGAACCUGCCAAUCCAAAAUGGUCACUGGUUUCACAUUAUAAGUCAAAUCACCAUCCAACUGAACCGUGCUGAAAUCCAAAACAUGAGAUGGAUCGCCGAUAUACUUCUGGAGCAUAGAAACAUGGAAUACUGGAUGUACACUCGGCAAGCUAGGUGGUAAGGCAAGCUAGGUGGUAAGGCAAGCUUGUAAGCCACUUCCCCAAUCCUCUGAAGUACCUCAAAAGGCCCAAUGAAUAAAGGGCUCAACUUGCCCUUCUUCCUGAACCUCAUAACACCCUUCAAGGGUGAAACCUUCAGCAGAACCUUCUCCCCAACCAUGUAUGACACAUCACGUACCUUCCUGUCGGCAUAAUUCUUCUGUCUAGACUACACAGUGUGAAGCCGAUCCUGAAUUAAUUUAACCUUGUCUAAAGUAUCCUAAACCAAGUCAGUACCCAAUAGCCUCGCCUCCCCUGGCUCAAACCAACCCUCGAGAGAUCUACACUGCCUCCCAUAUAAAGCCUCAUACUGAGCCAUCUGAAUGCUCGACUGACAGAUGUUUUUGUAUGAAAACUCCGCGAGUGGCAGAAAUUGGUCCCUUGAACCCCCGAAAUCAAUGCCACAAACACCUAGAAUGUCCUCCAAUAUCUGAAUAGUACGUUUGAACUGUCUAUUUGUCUGAGGGUGAAAUGUUGUGCUCAACUCAACCUGAGUGCCCAACUCUCACUGCACGCCUCUCCAAAACUGUGAUGUAAACUGCGUGCCUCUAUCUGAAAUGAUAGAAACCGGCAUACCGUGAAGGCGAACAAUCUCUCGGAUGUAAAUAGCAGCCAACCGAUCUGAAGAAUAAGUAGUACUUACUAGAAUGAAGUGCACAGACUUGGUCAGCCGGUCCAAAUCACCCAAAUAGCAUCAAACUUCCUCGAAGUCAGUGGGAGCCCAACUACGAAAUCCAUGGUGAUCUGCUCCUACUUCCACUCCGGAAUCUCCAUCCUCUUAAGCAAGCCACCCGGUCUUUGAUGCUCAUAUUUUACCUGCUGACAGUUGAGACACCGAGCUACAAACCCAACCAUAUCCCUUUUCAUCCUUUUCCACCAAUAGUGUUGUCUCAAAUAUUGGUACAUCUUCGCGGCACCCGGAUGAAUGGAAUACCGCGAGCUGUGGACCUCCUCAAGAAUCAACUCCUGCAGCCCAUCUACAUUGGGCAUACAUAUCUAUCCUUGCAUCCUCAACACCCCAUCAUCUCCAAUAGUAAAAUCUCUGGCAUCAUCGUGAUGAACCUUGUCCUUGAGGACAACUAAAUAUGGAUCAUUAUACUGGCGCUCUCUGAUGCGAUAAAAUAAGGAAGACCUAGAUACCACACAGGCUAGAACCCGAAUGGGCUCCGAAACAUCUAACCUCAUGAAUUGGUUGGCCAAGGCCUAAACAUCAACUACAAGAGGUCUCUCACCAACACGAAUGAAUGCAAAACUACACAUACUCACUGCCUUCCUACUCAAAGCAUCGGCCACCACACUGGCCUUCCCCGGAUGAUUUAGAAUUGUAAUAUCAUAGUCCUUUAGCAGCUCCAAACACCUCUGCUACCUCAAAUUUAGAUCCUUCUUUUUGAACAAGUGCUAAAGGCUAUGAUGAUCAGUAAAUACCUCACAAGAUACACCAUAGAGAUAGUGCCUCCAAAUCUUUAACGCAUGGACAAUGGCGGCCUACUCCAAAUCAUGAACAAGGUAGUUCUUCUCAUGAGGUUUCAACUGGCGUGAAGCAUAAACAAUCACUCUACCCUCCUGCAUCAAAACAUACCUAAUACCGAGAAGCAUCACAAUACAGUGUAUAAGAACCUGAAGUUGAUGGUAGAACUAGAACUGGAGUUGUGGUCAAGGUAGUCUUGAGUUUCUUAAAGAUCUCCUCACACUCGUUUGACCACCUGAAAGGAGCACCCUUUUUGGUCAAUUUGGUCAAGGGCAAUGCGAUAGACAAGAAACCCUGCACGAACCGAUGGUAAUAACUAGCCAAACCAAGAAAGCUCUGAAUCUUCAUAGCUAAGGAUGGUUUGGGCGAACUCUGAACUGCCUCUAUCUUCUUUGGAUCCACCUGAAUAGCCUCACUAGACACCACGUGACCCAAGAACGCGACUGAACCGAGCCAAAACUCACACUUGGAGAACUUGGCAUAAAGCUUCUCUUCCCUCAACUGUUGUAACACAAUCCUCAAAUGCUCAAUAUGCUCCUCCUGGAUACGAGAGUACAACAGGAUAUCAUCAAUGAACAUAAUAACAAAUGAGUCGAGAUAAGGCUGACAUGCACUAUUCAUCAGAUGCAUGAACGCUGCUUGGGCGUUGGUCAUCCCAAAAUACAUCACAAGGAACUCUUAAUGACCAUAACGGAUCCUGAAAGUUGUCUUUAGAAUAUCAGAGUCCCGAAUCUUCAACUGGUGAUACCCAGACCUCAAAUAUAUCUUGGAGAACACCCUCACUCCCUAAGUUGGUCAAAUAGAUUAUCAAUACGCAGCAAAGGAUAGUUGUUCUUGAUUAUGACUUUGUUCAACUACCUAUAAUCAAUGCACAUUCUCAUAGUGUCAUCCUUCUUCUUUACUAACAGGACCGGUGCACCCCAAGGUGACACACUAGGCCUAAUAAAUCCCUUAUCAAGGAGUUCCUGAAGUUGCUCCUUCAACUCCCUCAACUCAGUCGGUGUCAUACGGCGCGGAGGAAUAAAAUAGGUUGGGUGCCCGGCACCAAGUCAAUACCAAAAUUAAUGUCCCUAUCGGGCGGCAUGCCCGACAGGUCUACAGGAAACACAUCCAAAAAUUCUCGCACCACCAGAACAGAAUCAAUAGUAAGGGUCUUUGUACUAACAUUCCCCACAAACGCAAAAUAAGAUAGACAACCCUUCCCAACUAUCCAUUGGGCCUUCAAAUAUGUAAUCACUCUACUGGGAAUAUAGUCUAGAGAACCUCGCCACUCAACCCGUGGCAUUCCCGGCAUCACCAACAUCACUAUCUUAGCGUGAUAAUCCAAAACAAUAUGACAUGGAGACAACCAGUCCAUACCCGUUCACGUCAAAAUCAACCAUACUAAGCAACAAUAGAUCAACUCUAGUCUCUAAUCCCCCAACAGUCACUGCACAUGACCGAUAUACACGAUCUACAAUAAUUGUAUCGCCCACUGGUAUAGAUAUAUAAAUAUAUGAAACUAGAGACUCACGGGGCAUAUCCAAAUAAUGAGAAAAAUACGAUAACAUAUAUAAAUAUGUGGAACCAGGAUCAAAUAAUAUAGAGGCAUUUAUGUGGAAAAUUGAGACUAUACUAGUGAUUACUGCAUCUGAAGCAACAACAUUUGGUCUGACAGGAAGAACAUAGAAUGGGGCCUGACUGCCACCUGAUCGGCCUCCCCCUCUAGGGCGACCUCUAGCUGACUAGGUCACAUCCCGAGCUAGUUGAUUGGCUGGUGUAGUAACUGGUGCAGAAGAUGCAGUCUGACUCCUCUAUUGCACUAGACCUCCUUGACGACGAGGACACUGCCUCCACGUAUGUCUAAAAUCCCUGCACUCAAAACAACUCCCUGGUGCUGGUGAUAGGGACUAAAGGGAACCCUGAGCACUAAGAUAACUGGUAGAAGGACAUGUCAUAGAUGAGCCCUAAACCGAUGGAUCAUGGGACGAACUUUGAUCUAGAAGGGCACUGAGAGAUGAGUGACCCUGAUGAGAACUGUGUGAACCAUGGCCAGAUGAUGUACCAUUGUGAACUGGACGAGCCGUCUGAGCAUGCCUAAAAGGAUGACCCCUAACGUGGUAUAACUAACCUCUAGAAGGAACCCCAAUCAAACCACCUGAUCUACAAGACCUCUUGGCCUCCUCAACCCGCUCCUGGCUACGUACCAUCUCUUCUAUCGAGCAAUGUCAACAACCUCAUCGAAAGUAGCACCAGAUACCCUCUCUCUAGUCAUAAUCACCCGCUGCUAAAAUGUGAGGCUAUCAAUGAAUCUUCUGAUCAUAUCUCUAUUAGUGAUAACUAACCAGAUUGCAUGACGGGCCAACUUAGAAAACCUCAUUCGUACUAUGUCAAAAAUAUAUCAUCCUAACGUAACUACUCAAACUGUCUGUGCAGCUCCUCUCUACGCGACUACGUCACGAACUUCUCCAAAAAGAGAACGGUGAACUCCUGCCAAGAAAAUGGUGUCACACCUCCUUUUUACCUACACCCCCGUAAGGGGGUAUAUAAGGGAGUUUUUUCCAACUUAAAGUGACAAUCGAAACAGGAUUAUUUUUAUUAAAAUUCAGAGUCGCCACUUGGGAUAAUUUUAUGGUGUCCCAAGUCACCUGUUCAAAUCCCGAAUCAAGGAAAAGAUUGACUCUAUAUUACAGUCCGCGAACACAAAAAUUCGGGUAAGGAAUUUUGUUAACCCGGGAGAAGGUGUUAGGCAUUCCCGAGUUCUGUGGUUCUAGCACGGUCGCUCAACUGUUAUAAUUGGCUUAUUUACUUGAUUUUAGUGCAUGUUUUAGCCUAUGGUGCCAUUUUAACUUUAAACCGCUUUUGUUCCUUUUUGUAGAAAAUUGCAACGUUAUUAAAACAUGUCUCAAACCACGUCAUAUAAAUGCGCCCGUGGUCUUUGACACAUUUUAACAUCGUUGAGAUUUGGAUUUGGGUUAUAUAAAUGCGCACCCGAAUUUAGGAAGGUAAUAUUAUUAAAAUACGCGCCUAAAGUAGCUACGCAUUUGCAACUCUGCGAGGGACAUGGAAAUUCGACUAAAUGCGCACCUCGAUCUCUAAGGAAUCAUAAUUAUGUCACGCGAACGUGUCCACAAUCUAUUUUACCCGAUCUAUUUUAAAAAAAUUCACCACCCGACCCAUUUCUAUUUUGCUUAUUUUUAUUACUACAUAUCACCAGGCAUCUAGCUUUCUAGUCGAAAGAUAAAGUAGAUUAUUAAUUUUCUUCAAAGGAAUCUUGUAACAAACUUAUUAACAAUCAACCCAUAUCGCCUUUAAUAGCAGAGAUGUAUAGUUUCCGAAUCUUUUCUUUGCUACAACAAAUUGACAAAUAUUCCCAGCAAGGAAUAAUUCAAAGAGUUCUCUUUUAAACUAUGCAUCGCUAAAACAAUUAUUUUAUACAGAUAGAAACUUCAUUACUUUGAAAAUCAAGGAAAAAUGAGAAGGGAAAAGAAACAAAAAAACGUAGGAGAAAGAAGAAGUUACUCUCUUAGAAGGUAAUAAUCAGUUCCAUAAUUACCACAAGAACGCAAAAUGAAAGGAACCAACCUGAACUUCCGAUGAAAUGCAGCUUCAUUCGCAAUACUGUUUUGAUGCUAGACUAACAGACACGGACUCGAACAGAAAACGUAGCAGCACCGGAACCUCGCCGAAAUCUCGAACGGAACCGAACAGACCCAACUCGACUGGAUUUGGGUGGGGAUUUCGAACUGAUUUGCACACUGAUCUGGUGUAGUUUCAGGCAGCCAUGGUCAGCUUUGCUUGAAUUUCUGCUGUUGGGUGUUGCCGGAUUUUCCCACAAGUUUGGUAGCGACUGGCGAGGCUGGUGAGGGGUGUGAGUGAAGAGGGUUGAGUUGAGAGGUCAUCGGCUUCUGCUUCGUGGAGUGAAGAAUAAGUUCAGGGGGUCGUUUUGAGAAGAUGAAGUCGGGGACCAGGGUCGUUCGUGUAAGCUACGCAACUUUUGUUUUGCUUUUUCCCAGCGUUCUUCUUUUUUUUUAUAUAGAUUUUUUAAGCCUUACUUUAUAGGUAGAGUCUAGGUUUAGGUGUAUUUUUGUGUAUUUAGC
Molecule: long non-coding RNA, 6850 nt
Filed under: Nicotiana tabacum (common tobacco)
Lineage: Eukaryota; Viridiplantae; Streptophyta; Magnoliopsida; Solanales; Solanaceae
Description: long non-coding RNA (NTAB_LNC011363)
Source: RNAcentral